UGAAGAGAAGAGCGCUUUUGGUUCUGGCGUCUUUGAUUGGAAUUAAGAGACGCUUUUUUGUCGUGCCAGUGCAUUUCCUCUGUUCACUUUCUCUUUUUCCCAUCUGUAAUCUAACGCUGUGUUUUUUAUUCAUUAUUCAUUUAAAUAAAAUUUAAUGUGCUUCUAUUUUUGGAUUUAAUUUAACCUUCUUUUUUUAACAUCCUUUAAUAAAAAGACAUUUCAUUUUAAUUACAAAAAAUGUUAUGUUAAUAUUUUGUAAGUCUUUUUUUUUUUUUUUGGUAGAUAAGGUCUGCCCUGCUUACGAAAUUGGAUUAUGCUUCAAUUGAUAAGUUCCCAUUAGAUGUUGGUAUGAAACUAAUUUACACCCAUCAUGUAUCCCA
RNAcentral lists this long non-coding RNA (380 nucleotides) under Medicago truncatula (barrel medic). RNAcentral's name for it is "long non-coding RNA (MTRU_LNC007918)". The record is from RNAcentral. Lineage: Eukaryota; Viridiplantae; Streptophyta; Magnoliopsida; Fabales; Fabaceae.